UACGUAGGGGGCUAGCGUUGUCCGGAUUUAUUGGGCGUAAAGAGCUCGUAGGCGGCUCGGUAAGUCGGAUGUGAAACCUCCAGGCUCAACCUGGAGACGCCAUCUGAUACUGCCGUGGCUUGAGUGUGGCAGAGGGGGGUGGAAUUCCGCGUGUAGCAGUGAAAUGCGUAGAGAUGCGGAGGAACACCGAUGGCGAAGGCAGCCCCCUGGGCCAACACUGACGCUCAGGCACGAAAGCGUGGGGAGCGAACAGG
This 254-nucleotide ribosomal RNA is filed under the name uncultured bacterium. RNAcentral describes it as "partial 16S ribosomal RNA". It matches the Rfam family "Bacterial small subunit ribosomal RNA", at positions 524 to 776 of the family's 1533-position model. The record is from RNAcentral.